UGUAAGCGUAUACCAAAGUUGUUGCAGUUAAAACGCUCGUAGUCGGAAUUUGGCAGUUCCGGAAGUGUGCACGUCGUGUGCGCAAUUUGCGGGGACUGCUUUUGUGGUCUUGCGUAGGAUGAGGCACUUUCAUUAGUGAACGUCCUCACGCAACCACUCUUUACUGUGAGAAAAUCAGAGUGCUCAAAGCAGGCAUUUGCCGUGAAUGUAUUAGCAUGGAAUAAUAGAAUAGGACUCGGUUCUAUUUUGUUGGUUUGUUGGGACUGAGUAAUGAUUAAGAGGGACAGUUGGGGGCAUUUGUAUUCCGGCGCUAGAGGUGAAAUUCUUAGAUUGCCGGAAGACAAACUGCUGCGAAAGCGUCUGCCAAGGAUGUUUUCAUUGA
RNAcentral lists this ribosomal RNA (382 nucleotides) under uncultured eukaryote. RNAcentral describes it as "partial 18S ribosomal RNA". It matches the Rfam family "Eukaryotic small subunit ribosomal RNA", at positions 592 to 976 of the family's 1831-position model. The record is from RNAcentral.